GUGGGGAAUUUUGGACAAUGGGGGCAACCCUGAUCCAGCCAUUCCGCGUGAGUGAAGAAGGCCUUCGGGUUGUAAAGCUCUUUCGCAAGGGAAGAAAACUUAUGAUCGAAUAAAUCAUGAGGUUGACGGUACCUUGAUAAGAAGCACCGGCUAACUACGUGCCAGCAGCCGCGGUAAUACGUAGGGUGCGAGCGUUAAUCGGAAUUACUGGGCGUAAAGCGUGCGCAGGCGGUUUUGUAAGUCGGAUGUGAAAUCCCCGGGCUCAACCUGGGAACUGCGUUCGAAACUGCAAGGCUAGAGUGUGUCAGAGGGGGGUAGAAUUCCACGUGUAGCAGUGAAAUGCGUAGAGAUGUGGAGGAAUACCAAUGGCGAAGGCAGCCCCCUGGGAUAACACUGACGCUCAUGCACGAAAGCGUGGGGAGCAAACAGGAU
This 432-nucleotide ribosomal RNA is filed under the name beta proteobacterium SCGC AAA028-K02. RNAcentral's name for it is "bacterial SSU rRNA". It matches the Rfam family "Bacterial small subunit ribosomal RNA", at positions 354 to 778 of the family's 1533-position model. The record is from RNAcentral. Lineage: Bacteria; Pseudomonadati; Pseudomonadota; Betaproteobacteria.